CAAAUUAAAGCUUUAAGAAGCAUUUUAGUUACAUUAAAAAGAUAUUUUUUACAAAAUUAAUUUGA
This 65-nucleotide transfer RNA is filed under the name Scaphidium quadrimaculatum. RNAcentral describes it as "tRNA-Val". The record is from RNAcentral. Lineage: Eukaryota; Metazoa; Arthropoda; Insecta; Coleoptera; Staphylinidae.